Molecule: ribosomal RNA, 2664 nt
Filed under: Triticum aestivum (bread wheat)
Lineage: Eukaryota; Viridiplantae; Streptophyta; Magnoliopsida; Poales; Poaceae
Description: partial small subunit ribosomal RNA
Source: RNAcentral
AUGGCGGUCGGGGACGCGCUGCGGCGCCUCUGCGAGGACAUCGGCUGGUCCUACGCCGUCUUCUGGAAGGCCAUCGGCGCCGCCGACCCCGUGCAUUUGGUGUGGGAGGACGGCUACUGCGGCCACACGCCAUGCCCCGCCGGAUCUGAGGCUUCUCAAGCUCGGGCCACUGAGCUCGGGUGUUCUGCUGCUGUUGACAGCAUUUGCUCACUCGUUCGGAAGGACAUGGCCCAGCAGGUUCAUGUCGUGGGAGAAGGGACCAUCGGCCGUGUUGCGUUCACUGGCAGUCAUCAAUGGAUCAUCCAUGGUACUGCGGAUGAUCACGGGCUCUCAUCCGAGGUUGCUUCUGAGAUGCAUUAUCAGUUCAUAGCUGGCAUUAAGACUAUUGCGAUUAUUCCUGUGCUACCACGCGGCGUGCUACAAUUAGGCUCUACUGGUGUGGUUAUGGAGAACACAAGUUUUGUGAUGCAUGCAAAGAAAUUGUGUUCUCAGCUGAACCAGCGAUCAAGUAUGGCUGCAUCUGCUUCAGUAAAAAGUACUUCGAAUCAGUCGCGUCCUCUGCAUGGUGCCUCAAACAUCCAAGCUGCAGACAAUUCCUUCAGUCAAUUCCCAGUGAUACGUGAACAAUACAGACAAUCUGAUAGCGCAACUGCGUCAAGUAGCAAAUCACUAAAUGCAUCUUUGUUUGAGGCUGCACAACAGAAUGGUCUAACUGGUAGAGAGCAUAUUGUCUAUGGCAAGCCUAACGAUAUGUUUGUACAACAAGCGUCUUAUUGUGAUAGUCGACUUGGAAGUAAUACACAGAGUGCUGCAAUAGGCUCUGAUUUGGUCCCAUCGAGCUUGGCAUCAGUGGAGCAACAGCAAAUGCUGAUGAACACCAUUGGACAGUUAGAAUUUGGUAGCGGUACAGAUUUGGCAAGGAGUGCGCUGCUAAAAUCUCUUCUAUACCGAAAUCCUUUUAUGCAUGAAACUAGUGACAUGAAGCUGUCACAUGGAAGAGUUGGCCUAUCCCAAGGGACUACUGGUCAUGGGAGUUAUGGUUUCCUCCCUGGAAGUGCCGGAGUAGUCAGUACUACCUUAUGUACAUCAAGUCAAGUAUCAGAACAAGGAAGCCAUUCCAGUUCAGGAAUGUUACGGCAGAAGCAACCUCCAGUUUCUUGUAAUGUUCCCCAAUCUUCUGAAUUCACCAUGAAAAUGGUGCGCCAAGAAAGAAGGUCAUCUGAAGGUGCUCUGCCUGUAUCUUCUCAAUCUGAUGUUCAGGUUUCUAAUUGCUUGAAUGGCAUGUCCCAAGAGAAUCUAUUGAGUAGGUCAGGUCAUAUGCAGAAAGAUCAAAAUACCGAUAGAGCAAAUGAUCCACGUGUUGCUGUGAGUACACAAGGUGUGAAGAAUAUGGAUGGUUGCAUGCUGCCAGCUAUGCCCAGUGAGACAGCUCACUCUUUGCUUUUGCAGCCAACAUGGGAUAAUGACUUGUUUGAUAUAUUUGGUUCUGAAUUUCAUCAGUUGGGUCAUAAUGUGGAUGCUAAUUUGGUGUCCUCCUGUGAUGCAAAAUCUCAUAGUUUAGACAGAGAUGCAACUGAACCCUCGAUUUGUCUUGAUUCUUCUUCACUCUUCAGUUCACUAGACAAUGACUUUCCCUGUUCCGGGAUCUUCUCACUAACUGAUACUGAUCAAUUACUGGAUGCUGUCAUCUCAAAUGUCAACCCCAGCAGUAAGCAGAGUUCUGAUGACAAUGCUUCUUGCAAGACUGCAUUGACUGACAUUCCAAACAUUUCUCAUUUUGGUUUGGAAGAGUUAAAGCAAUGUGACUCCUCUGGCAUUCCUUCAACGGUAAUCAAGAAUGAGUCCACACAGAUUGUUAAACAACCAUAUUACUUUGAUAAGACUGAAGAUGGUUGUCUUUCCCAAAAUAAUGGAGCACAGAAAUCUCAGAUACGUCUUUGGAUUGAGAAUGGUCAGAACAUGAAAUGUGAAAGUGCAUCAGCUUCUAACAGCAAAGGUCUUGAUACACAAAGCAAGUCAAAUCGAAAGAGAUCUCGACCUGGAGAGAGUUCUAAGGCACGGCCAAAGGAUCGGCAGCUGAUACAGGAUCGUAUAAAGGAGCUCCGAGAAAUGGUGCCUAAUGGAGCUAAGCAGUGCAGCAUUGAUGCUUUGUUGGAGAAGACAGUUAAGCACAUGCUCUUCUUGCAAAGCGUUACAAAGCAUGCAGACAAACUCAAGGAUUCUACUGAAUCUAAGAUACUUGGCAGUGAGAACGGUCCUGUGUGGAAAGACUACUUUGAAGGUGGUGCAACCUGGGCCUUUGAUGUUGGCUCUCAGUCUAUGACAUGUCCAAUCAUCGUUGAGGAUCUUGACAGACCACGUCAGAUGCUUGUGGAGAUGAUUUGUGAGGAUAGAGGCAUCUUCUUGGAGAUAGCUGAUUUCAUCAAAGGACUUGGGUUGACCAUCCUGAGGGGUGUAAUGGAAGCACGUAAAAGUAAAAUCUGGGCACGCUUUACUGUUGAGGCAAACAGGGAUGUAACCAGAAUGGAAAUCUUUCUCUCGCUUGUACGGUUGUUGGAACCCAAUUGCGAUGGCAGCGGAGCAGCAGAGAAUCCCAACAGUGUAAACAUGCCUCUUGGUUUGGUUCGCCAACCUGUCAUCCCGGCAACAGGUGGUAUCCAGUGA